Molecule: ribosomal RNA, 868 nt
Filed under: uncultured bacterium
Lineage: Bacteria
Description: bacterial SSU rRNA
Rfam family: Bacterial small subunit ribosomal RNA
Source: RNAcentral
CAAGUCGAACGGCAGCACGGAGAGCUUGCUCUCUGGUGGCGAGUGGCGAACGGGUGAGUAAUAUAUCGGAACGUAUCCAAUAAUGGGGGAUAACGAGUCGAAAGAUUCGCUAAUACCGCAUACGCCCUACGGGGGAAAGCAGGGGAUCGUAAGACCUUGCGUUAAUGGAGCGGCCGAUAUCUGAUUAGCUUGUUGGUGAGGUAAAGGCUCACCAAGGCGACGAUCAGUAGCUGGUUUGAGAGAACGACCAGCCACACUGGAACUGAGACACGGUCCAGACUCCUACGGGAGGCAGCAGUGGGGAAUUUUGGACAAUGGGGGCAACCCUGAUCCAGCCAUUCCGCGUGAGUGAAGAAGGCCUUCGGGUUGUAAAGCUCUUUCGCAAGGGAAGAAAACUUAUGAUCGAAUAAAUCAUGAGGUUGACGGUACCUUGAUAAGAAGCACCGGCUAACUACGUGCCAGCAGCCGCGGUAAUACGUAGGGUGCGAGCGUUAAUCGGAAUUACUGGGCGUAAAGCGUGCGCAGGCGGUUUUGUAAGUCGGAUGUGAAAUCCCCGGGCUCAACCUGGGAACUGCGUUCGAAACUGCAAGGCUAGAGUGUGUCAGAGGGGGGUAGAAUUCCACGUGUAGCAGUGAAAUGCGUAGAGAUGUGGAGGAAUACCAAUGGCGAAGGCAGCCCCCUGGGAUAACACUGACGCUCAUGCACGAAAGCGUGGGGAGCAAACAGGAUUAGAUACCCUGGUAGUCCACGCCCUAAACGAUGUCAACUAGUUGUUGGUAGAGUAAAAUCUAUGAGUAACGUAGCUAACGCGUGAAGUUGACCGCCUGGGGAGUACGGUCGCAAGAUUAAAACUCAAAGGAAUUGACGG